AGUGAACGCUGGCGGUAGGCCUAAUACAUGCAAGUCGAACGGCAGCACAGUAAGAGCUCGCCCUUACGGGUGGCGACUGGCGGAUGGGUAAGGAAUACAUCGGCAUCUUCUUUUUCGUGGGGGACAACGUAGGGAAACUUACGCUAAUACCGCAUACGAUCAACGGGAGAGAGCAGGGGAUCUUCAGACCUUUCGCGACUCAAUGAGACGGUGUCGCAUUAGCUAGUUGGGGGGGUAACGGCCCACCAAGGCAACGAUCCGUAGCUGGUCUGAGAGGAUGAUCGGCCACACUGGAACUGAGACACGGUCCAGACUCCUACGGGAGGCAGCAGUAGGGAAUAUUGGGCAGUGGGCGCAAGCCUGAUGCAGCAAUACCGCGUGAGUGAUGAAGGCCUUCGGGUCGUAAAACUCUGUUAUUAGGGAAGAACAUCAGUGUGUGAAACCCUCGCUAUUCUGACGGUACCCAAAGAGUAAGCACCGGCUAACUACGUG
This 492-nucleotide ribosomal RNA is filed under the name uncultured bacterium. RNAcentral describes it as "partial 16S ribosomal RNA". It matches the Rfam family "Bacterial small subunit ribosomal RNA", at positions 29 to 507 of the family's 1533-position model. The record is from RNAcentral.